GAGCUGUGCCGCUGAGCUAAAUCCCCAACGCCCGCAGUAACAAUAAUGAAAGAAGGGUCAGUCAGUACUCCGGUGAUUCCGACCCAGAUGCUCAUGCCCUUCAUUUUGAAGAAGGUGAUUUGCGCCCUUGGCAGACUUGCACGAUCUGUACCAUGGA
This 157-nucleotide long non-coding RNA is filed under the name Chinchilla lanigera (long-tailed chinchilla). RNAcentral's name for it is "lncRNA (ENSCLAG00000024925.1)". The record is from RNAcentral. Lineage: Eukaryota; Metazoa; Chordata; Mammalia; Rodentia; Chinchillidae.